This 75-nucleotide transfer RNA is filed under the name Ammonifex sp. RNAcentral's name for it is "tRNA-Lys". It matches the Rfam family "tRNA". Rfam says of the family: Transfer RNA (tRNA) molecules are approximately 80 nucleotides in length. Their secondary structure includes four short double-helical elements and three loops (D, anti-codon, and T loops). Further hydrogen bonds mediate the characteristic L-shaped molecular structure. tRNAs have two regions of fundamental functional importance: the anti-codon, which is responsible for specific mRNA codon recognition, and the 3' end, to which the tRNAs corresponding amino acid is attached (by aminoacyl-tRNA synthetases). tRNAs cope with the degeneracy of the genetic code in two manners: having more than one tRNA (with a specific anti-codon) for a particular amino acid; and 'wobble' base-pairing, i.e. permitting non-standard base-pairing at the 3rd anti-codon position. The record is from RNAcentral. Lineage: Bacteria; Bacillati; Bacillota; Clostridia; Thermoanaerobacterales; Thermoanaerobacteraceae.
GCGCUCGUAGCUCAACGGAAGAGCAACGGCCUUUUAAGCCGUGGGGUGGGGGUUCGAGUCCCUCCGGGCGCACCA